AUUUUAAUAAAUGUUAAAUAUAAUUCAUAAUACGGCAUUCCUUUGGAUGUGUGUAUUGUGAAGACCCGUGUAUCAAUGCAUGUUUGUAUUUGAGUCUGUGUGAAUGCACUUGUGCAUGUCUGGAUGACUACAUGUGCUUUUUUGUAUAUAGUGUCUGUGUGAAUGCAUAUGUGACAGAGUGUGUGAGGGAGAAGGUGACAGGUGGAAGAGUGUGGGAGGUUGUGACAGGUGGCAGAGUGAGGGGGUACCUGGUGGCAGAGUGAGGGAGGGGUUGAGUGGUGGCAGAGUGAGGG
This is a non-coding RNA of Pelobates cultripes (western spadefoot toad), 293 nucleotides long. The record is from the annotation of a GenBank genome assembly. NCBI's taxonomy places the organism in Eukaryota, Metazoa, Chordata, Amphibia, Anura, Pelobatidae.